UUUUCUCAAGGAAGAAGAUCUGACGGUACUUGAGGAAUAAGCCACGGCUAAUUCCGUGCCAGCAGCCGCGGUAAUACGGGAGUGGCAAGCGUUAUCCGGAAUUAUUGGGCGUAAAGCGUCCGCAGGCGGCUUUGUAAGUCUGCUGUCAAAGCGUGGAGCUUAACUCCAUUUCGGCAGUGGAAACUACGAGGCUUGAGUGUGGUAGGGGCAGAGGGAAUUCCCGGUGUAGCGGUGAAAUGCGUAGAUAUCGGGAAGAACACCAGUGGCGAAGGCGCUCUGCUGGGCCAUAACUGACGCUCAUGGACGAAAGCCAGGGGAGCGAAAGGGAUUAGAUACCCCUGUAGUCCUGGCCGUAAACGAUGAACACUAGGUGUCGGGGGAAUCGACCCCCUCGGUGUCGUAGCCAACGCGUUAAGUGUUCCGCCUGGGGAGUACGCACGCAAGUGUGAAACUCAAAGGAAUUGACGGGGGCCCGCACAAGCGGUGGAGUAUGUGGUUUAAUUCGAUGCAACGCGAAGAACCUUACCAGGGUUUGACAUCCUGCGAAUCCCUUGGAAACUUGGGAGUGCCUUCGGGAGCGCAGAGACAGGUGGUGCAUGGCUGUCGUCAGCUCGUGUCGUGAGAUGUUGGGUUAAGUCCCGCAACGAGCGCAACCCACGUCUUUAGUUGCCAGCAUUUAGUUGGGCACUCUAGAGAGACCGCCGGUGAUAAACCGGAGGAAGGUGUGGAUGACGUCAAGUCAUCAUGCCCCUUACAUCCUGGGCUACACACGUACUACAAUGCUACGGACAAAGGGCAGCAAACUCGCGAGAGCUAGCAAAUCCCAUAAACCGUGGCUCAGUUCAGAUCGUAGGCUGCAACUCGCCUACGUGAAGGAGGAAUCGCUAGUAAUCGCAGGUCAGCAUACUGCGGUGAAUACGUUCCCGGGCCUUGUACACACCGCCCGUCACACCAUGG
RNAcentral lists this ribosomal RNA (957 nucleotides) under uncultured cyanobacterium. Its description in RNAcentral is "bacterial SSU rRNA". It matches the Rfam family "Bacterial small subunit ribosomal RNA", at positions 434 to 1407 of the family's 1533-position model. Lineage: Bacteria; Bacillati; Cyanobacteriota. The record is from RNAcentral.